UACCAGCACCCCGAGUGGUCGGGACGUUUAUUGGGCCUAAAGCCUCCGUAGCCGGUUCUACAAGUCUUCCGUUAAAUCCACCUGCUUAACAGAUGGGCUGCGGAAGAUACUAUAGAGCUAGGAGGCGGGAGAGGCAAGCGGUACUCGAUGGGUAGGGGUAAAAUCCGUUGAUCCAUUGAAGACCACCAGUGGCGAAGGCGGCUUGCCAGAACGCGCUCGACGGUGAGGGAUGAAGGCUGGGGGAGCAAACCGG
This 253-nucleotide ribosomal RNA is filed under the name uncultured bacterium. Its description in RNAcentral is "partial 16S ribosomal RNA". It matches the Rfam family "Archaeal small subunit ribosomal RNA", at positions 474 to 727 of the family's 1478-position model. The record is from RNAcentral.